RNAcentral lists this ribosomal RNA (551 nucleotides) under uncultured bacterium. RNAcentral's name for it is "partial 16S ribosomal RNA". It matches the Rfam family "Bacterial small subunit ribosomal RNA", at positions 355 to 896 of the family's 1533-position model. The record is from RNAcentral.
UGGGGAAUCUUCCGCAAUGGACGAAAGUCUGACGGAGCAACGCCGCGUGUAUGAUGAAGGUCUUCGGAUUGUAAAGUACUGUCAUUGGGGAAGAACGGUUUUCUUGAAAAGAUUGAGAAGACAUGACGGUACCCAAGGAGGAAGCCCCGGCUAACUACGUGCCAGCAGCCGCGGUAAUACGUAGGGGGCAAGCGUUGUCCGGAAUUAUUGGGCGUAAAGGGCGCGUAGGCGGGCCUUUAAGUCCGGUGUGAAAGAUCAGGGCUCAACCCUGAGAGUGCAUCGGAAACUGGAGGCCUUGAGGACAGGAGAGGAAAGUGGAAUUCCACGUGUAGCGGUGAAAUGCGUAGAUAUGUGGAGGAACACCAGUGGCGAAGGCGACUUUCUGGACUGUAACUGACGCUGAGGCGCGAAAGCGUGGGGAGCAAACAGGAUUAGAUACCCUGGUAGUCCACGCCGUAAACGAUGAGUGCUAGGUGUAGAGGGUAUCGACCCCUUCUGUGCCGCAGUUAACACAAUAAGCACUCCGCCUGGGGAGUACGGCCGCAAGGUUG